GGGUUGUGAGGUUAAGCGACUAAGCGUACACGGUGGAUGCCCUGGCAGUCAGAGGCGAUGAAGGACGUGCUAAUCUGCGAUAAGCGUCGGUGAGGUGAUAUGAACCGUUAUAACCGGCGAUUUCCGAAUGGGGAAACCCAGUGUGUUUCGACACACUAUCAUUAACUGAAUCCAUAGGUUAAUGAGGCGAACCGGGGGAACUGAAACAUCUAAGUACCCCGAGGAAAAGAAAUCAACCGAGAUUCCCCCAGUAGCGGCGAGCGAACGGGGAGGAGCCCAGAGCCUGAAUCAGUGUGUGUGUUAGUGGAAGCGUCUGGAAAGGCGCGCGAUACAGGGUGACAGCC
Molecule: ribosomal RNA, 344 nt
Filed under: Escherichia coli
Lineage: Bacteria; Pseudomonadati; Pseudomonadota; Gammaproteobacteria; Enterobacterales; Enterobacteriaceae
Also listed under: 7 other names
Description: bacterial LSU rRNA
Rfam family: Bacterial large subunit ribosomal RNA
Source: RNAcentral